GGCUGUAGCUCAGUGGCAGCGUGCUUGCCCAGCAUGCUGAGGUACUGGGUUCAAUCCUCAGCACCA
RNAcentral lists this transfer RNA (66 nucleotides) under Marmota monax (woodchuck). RNAcentral describes it as "tRNA.Ala". Lineage: Eukaryota; Metazoa; Chordata; Mammalia; Rodentia; Sciuridae. The record is from RNAcentral.